Molecule: ribosomal RNA, 382 nt
Filed under: Ochrobactrum sp. R-26889
Lineage: Bacteria; Pseudomonadati; Pseudomonadota; Alphaproteobacteria; Hyphomicrobiales; Brucellaceae
Description: bacterial SSU rRNA
Rfam family: Bacterial small subunit ribosomal RNA
Source: RNAcentral
GAGUUUGAUCCCUGGCUCAGAACGAACGCUGGCGGCAGGCUUAACACAUGCAAGUCGAGCGCCCCGCAAGGGGAGCGGCAGACGGGUGAGUAACGCGUGGGAACGUACCUUUUGCUACGGAAUAACUCAGGGAAACUUGUGCUAAUACCGUAUGUGCCCGAAAGGGGAAAGAUUUAUCGGCAAAGGAUCGGCCCGCGUUGGAUUAGCUAGUUGGUGAGGUAAAGGCUCACCAAGGCGACGAUCCAUAGCUGGUCUGAGAGGAUGAUCAGCCACACUGGGACUGAGACACGGCCCAGACUCCUACGGGAGGCAGCAGUGGGGAAUAUUGGACAAUGGGCGCAAGCCUGAUCCAGCCAUNCCGCGUGAGUGAUGAAGGCCCUAG